UACGGGGGGGGUAAGCGUUGUUCGGAAUUACUGGGCGUAAAGGGCGCGUAGGCGGUUCGCUAAGUUGGAUGUGAAAACUCUGGGCUCAACCCAGAGCCUGCAUCCAAAACUGGCGGGCUAGAGUUCUGGAGGGGGUAGCGGAAUUCCUGGUGUAGCGGUGAAAUGCGCAGAUAUCAGGAGGAACACCAAUGGCGAAGGCAGCACUCUGGGACGUGACUGACGCUGAGACGCGAAAGCGUGGGGAGCAAACAGG
RNAcentral lists this ribosomal RNA (253 nucleotides) under uncultured bacterium. Its description in RNAcentral is "partial 16S ribosomal RNA". It matches the Rfam family "Bacterial small subunit ribosomal RNA", at positions 524 to 776 of the family's 1533-position model. The record is from RNAcentral.